This 393-nucleotide ribosomal RNA is filed under the name uncultured bacterium. RNAcentral's name for it is "partial 16S ribosomal RNA". It matches the Rfam family "Bacterial small subunit ribosomal RNA", at positions 523 to 918 of the family's 1533-position model. The record is from RNAcentral.
AUACGGAGGAUGCGAGCGUUAUCCGGAUUUAUUGGGUUUAAAGGGUGCGUAGGCGGGUCGCCAAGUCAGGGGUGAAAUCCCGGAGCCUAACUCCGGAACUGCCUUUGAUACUGGCGGUCUUGAAUUCGGAUGCCGUGGGAGGAAUGAGUAGUGUAGCGGGGAAAUGCGUAGAUAUUACUCAGAACACCGAUUGCGAAGGCAUCUCACGAAUCCGCGAUUGACGCUGAGGCACGAAAGCGUGGGGAUCAAACAGGAUUAGAUACCCUGGUAGUCCACGCAGUAAACGAUGAUGACUAACCGUCGGCGAUACACAGUCGGUGGCCAAGCGAAAGCGAUAAGUCAUCCACCUGGGGAGUACGACCGCAAGGUUGAAACUCAAAUGAAUUGACGGGG